GACGAACGCUGGCGGCGUGCUUAACACAUGCAAGUCGAACGGAAAGGCCCUGCUUUUGUGGGGUGCUCGAGUGGCGAACGGGUGAGUAACACGUGAGUAACCUGCCCUUGACUUUGGGAUAACUUCAGGAAACUGGGGCUAAUACCGGAUAGGAGCUCCUGCUGCAUGGAGGGGGUUGGAAAGUUUCGGCGGCUGGGGAUGGACUCGCGGCUUAUCAGCUUGUUGGUGGGGUAGUGGCUUACCAAGGCUUUGACGGGUAGCCGGCCUGAGAGGGUGACCGGCCACGUUGGGACUGAGAUACGGCCCAGCCCCCUCCGGGAGGCAGCAGUGCGGAUUAUUGCACUAUGGGCGGACGCCUGAUGCAGCAACGCCUCGUGCGCGAUGACGGCCUUCGGGUUGUAAACCGCUUUCGCCUGUGACGAAGCGUGAGUGACGGUAAUGUGUAAAGAAGCACCGGCUAACUACGUU
Molecule: ribosomal RNA, 468 nt
Filed under: uncultured bacterium
Lineage: Bacteria
Description: partial 16S ribosomal RNA
Rfam family: Bacterial small subunit ribosomal RNA
Source: RNAcentral